This 337-nucleotide ribosomal RNA is filed under the name Phalotris lativittatus. Its description in RNAcentral is "partial small subunit ribosomal RNA". The record is from RNAcentral. Lineage: Eukaryota; Metazoa; Chordata; Lepidosauria; Squamata; Dipsadidae.
AAAGACUUGACGGUACUUCACAACAACCUAGAGGAGCCUGUCCAAUAACCGAUACUCCACGAUUAACCCCACCCACCCUAGCCUAAAACAGUCUAUAUACCGCCGUCGCCAGCUUACCUUGUGAAAGAAAUAAAGUAAGCAAAUUAAGCCACCCCCUAACACGACAGGUCGAGGUGUAGCUCAUGGGCGGGUAAAAGAUGGGCUACACUUUCUAUCACAGAAAACACGGACAAACUAUGAAAUUAAAAACUGAAGGCGGAUUUAGCAGUACGUUAAGAACAAAAUACUUAACCGAAACCAACGCAAUGAAGUGUGUACACACCGCCCGUCAUCCCUG